AGGGGGCCUUAACAGGGGGGGGUCGAGCGGAGGGCCACUUCGGUGGUACUCGAGCGGCGGACGGGUGAGCCUUCUUGUGAGUAAUCGGCCGCUGGCUUUGGGAUAGCCACCGGAAACGGUGAUUAAUACCGGAUACGACCACUUCUCGCAUGGGAUGGUGGUGGAAAGUUUUUCGGCCAGGGAUGUGCUCGCGGCCUAUCAGCUUGAUGGUGAGGUAAUGGCUCACCAUGGCUUCGACGGGUAGCCGGCCUGAGAGGGUGACCGGUCACACUGGGACUGAGACACGGCCCAGACUCCUACGGGAGGCAGCAGUGGGGAAUAUUGGACAAUGGGCGGAAGCCUGAUCCAGCAAAGGCCGGGGUGAGGGAUGACGGCCUUCGGGUUGUAAACCUCUUUCAGUACCGACGAAGCGCAAGUGACGGUAGGUACAGAAGAAGCACCGGCCCAACUACGUGCCAGCAGCCGCGGUAAUAAUCUAGA
RNAcentral lists this ribosomal RNA (480 nucleotides) under uncultured Nocardioides sp. Its description in RNAcentral is "bacterial SSU rRNA". It matches the Rfam family "Bacterial small subunit ribosomal RNA", at positions 41 to 531 of the family's 1533-position model. The record is from RNAcentral. Lineage: Bacteria; Bacillati; Actinomycetota; Actinomycetes; Propionibacteriales; Nocardioidaceae.